GGCCUGAUAGCUCAGGGGUUAAGAGCACUAAAUGUUAUCCAGACAUAGUGAUUGCUGGUUCAAAUCCAGCUCAGGUCA
Hysterangium stoloniferum is the source of this 78-nucleotide non-coding RNA. The record is from the annotation of a GenBank genome assembly. NCBI's taxonomy places the organism in Eukaryota, Fungi, Basidiomycota, Agaricomycetes, Hysterangiales, Hysterangiaceae.